Molecule: ribosomal RNA, 467 nt
Filed under: uncultured bacterium
Lineage: Bacteria
Description: SSU rRNA
Rfam family: Bacterial small subunit ribosomal RNA
Source: RNAcentral
AGGAUAAACGCUGGCGGCGUGCCUUACGCAUGCAAGUCGAACGGGGGGCUUCGGCCCCUAGUGGCGGACGGGUGAGGAACACGUACGUGACCUACCGCCGAGUGGGGGAUACCCGCCCGAAAGGGCGGCUAAUACCGCAUAGCCUCCCGCGGGGUGCCGGGGGAGGAAAGGCAGCGAUGUCGCUGGGUGAGGGGCGUGCGGCCGAUUAGCUAGCUGGUGGGGUAACGGCCUACCAGGGCGACGAUCGGUAGCUGGGCUGAGAGGCUGACCAGCCACACUGGGACUGAGACACGGCCCAGACUCCUACGGGAGGCAGCAGCGAGGAAUUUUGCGCAAUGGGCGACAGCCUGACGCAGCAACGCCGCGUGGGUGAGGAAGGCCUUCGGGUCGUAAAGCCCUUUUGUCGGGGACGAAGCUCUGACGGUACCCGACGAAGAAGCCACGGCUAACUACGUGCCAGCAGCCGC